CUCUCACGAACACAGAGAAUCAUUCCCCGCACAUCGAAUCCCACACUCACCGACGCGUGGGCCCCAAUCACUCCCGCACAUCACUGACACGUGGGCCCCACGCACCCAGAGCCAGAGCCCAGAAAGGCCUCGUCCUCCUCCUCCUCUCUGAUUCGUCACCGCCACCGCCGCGUCGUCCCGCGUCUCUCCUCACCUCUCGUCUCCCUCGCGACGUCUCCCCUUCUCCCUCCACCCCUCCAAUGGUGGGCUCCGAUGGCGACGGCGACGGCGGCGGAGGGGAAGCACACGCGCCGGCGGCGCCCGCGCACCACCACCGCCGGCCCCCGCGCCCGCGGGGAGGCAGCGGGGCCAUCGUCGAGGGCUUCGCGGCGGCGCUCCGUCGCAGGAUCCGCUCGGGGGCCGCGGCGGCCGCGCGGGCCAGCUUCGGGGGCGACUCCGGGGACGAGGCCGCCUCCGGGGAGCCCUCCUCGUCCUCGUCCUCGUCCCCGUCCCGCCGCCGUGGCGGCGACUCCAACGGGGCGGAGGCGUCCUCCGCCGCCGGGGGCGGUGGUGGCCGUGGCGGCGGUGGGGACUUCUCCGCGUUCACGUUCCGCGCGGCGGCGCCGGUGCACCGCAAGGCCAAGGAGAGCCCCCUCAGCUCCGACGCCAUCUUCAAGCAGAGUCAUGCAGGCCUUUUCAACCUAUGCAUUGUUGUUCUAGUUGCAGUGAACAGCAGGCUUAUUAUCGAGAACUUAAUGAAGUAUGGCUUAUUAAUAAGAGCUGGGUUUUGGUUUAAUGAUAAAUCAUUGCGGGACUGGCCACUUCUAAUGUGUUGUCUUAGUCUGCCUGCUUUCCCCCUGGGUGCAUUUGCAGUUGAAAAGUUGGCAUUUAACAAUGUUAUUACUGAUGCUGUUGCUACCUGCCUCCAUAUCUUCCUUUCAACAACCGAAAUUGUAUAUCCAGUGCUUGUGAUUCUUAAGUGUGAUUCUGCAGUUUUGUCUGGCUUUUUGUUGAUAUUUAUUGCCUGUAUUGUUUGGCUGAAGCUUGUAUCUUUUGCACAUACAAACCAUGAUAUAAGGCAACUGACCAUGGGCGGCAAGAAGGUUGAUAAUGAACUAAGCACAGUUGACAUGGAUAAUUUACAACCUCCAACUUUAGGGAAUCUAAUAUACUUCAUGAUGGCUCCUACACUCUGUUAUCAGCCAAGCUAUCCCCGAACUUCAUGUGUUAGAAAAGGUUGGCUGAUUCGUCAAAUUAUUCUGUACUUGAUCUUUACUGGUCUUCAAGGCUUCAUUAUUGAGCAAUACAUAAAUCCAAUUGUUGUGAAUUCUCAGCAUCCAUUGAAAGGAGGACUCCUAAAUGCUGUAGAGACUGUUUUGAAACUCUCAUUACCAAAUGUUUACCUGUGGCUUUGCAUGUUCUAUGCUUUUUUCCAUCUCUGGUUAAGUAUACUUGCUGAGAUUCUUCGAUUUGGUGACCGUGAAUUCUACAAAGAUUGGUGGAAUGCAAAAACAAUUGAUGAGUAUUGGAGAAAAUGGAAUAUGCCUGUACAUAAAUGGGUUGUUCGCCAUAUUUACUUUCCUUGCAUGCGAAAUGGUAUAUCAAAGGAAAAGGUGACAAAACACCGGCCGCAGGCCAGCCAGGGAAGUUGCUGUCUUGAUAUCAUUCCUUGUUUCUGCCGUACUCCAUGAGAUAUGUGUCGCUGUUCCCUGCCGCAUUCUCAAGUUCUGGGCAUUCUUAGGAAUAAUGCUACAGAUCCCCCUUAUCGUAUUGACAGCAUACCUCAAAAGUAAAUUCAGAGAUACAAUGGUUGGCAACAUGAUAUUUUGGUUCUUUUUCUGCAUCUAUGGGCAGCCAAUGUGCCUUCUCCUGUACUAUCAUGAUGUGAUGAACAGGAUUGAGAAGGCAAGAUAAAUGCGUGUUGCCAUCUUUUUCCUCUGUUUCAUUUUGUACCAGCAGAAGCACAAGCAAUAAUCCACAUGCUAGCCAUAAAACAGCAUGAUUCCCAACGGUGUGGUACAGCCAACCUUCCUGUUAUUCUAUUUUCUUGGCUGUGGUGUAGAUUUAGUUUUUAACUUGUGGCUAACCGCAGGAAUGCCUGUAGAUAAGCAUCUGUCAUUCUGUCUGGCGACGUUCUCCUUAUUAAUGUGUAGAUGUAGAACUGUUUCCGAAAACUAUAUAUCUUGAAUCUGUUAUGCCUCGACGAACAUAAUCCUUUUGUUAAGCUUAGUUGGUACAGUCUAGAAAGGAUAAGAGUCGUGGAUGUACGAUUUCGUCUGCCAUAUAUCACGCUCAUAUUGGCACAGGUAACUUUGUCGCUA
Oryza sativa Japonica Group (Japanese rice) is the source of this 2300-nucleotide RNA transcript. It is a transcript of the gene named diacylglycerol O-acyltransferase 1-1-like, with no coding region annotated. NCBI's taxonomy places the organism in Eukaryota, Viridiplantae, Streptophyta, Magnoliopsida, Poales, Poaceae. The record is from RefSeq and is marked validated.